RNAcentral lists this ribosomal RNA (1245 nucleotides) under metagenome. Its description in RNAcentral is "SSU rRNA". It matches the Rfam family "Eukaryotic small subunit ribosomal RNA", at positions 488 to 1758 of the family's 1831-position model. The record is from RNAcentral.
GAUCUCUUUGAGGCCCGUUAUCGGAAUGAGAACAAUUCAAAUCCUUUAACGAGGAUCUAGCGGAGGGCAAGUCUGGUGCCAGCAGCCGCGGUAAUUCCAGCUCCGCAGGUGUAUAUCUAUGCUGCUGCGGUUAAAAAGCUCGUAGUUGGAUCUGCGUGCUCGGAACUGGUUGGCUCACUGAGUUCAAACUGGUCUCCGGCGCUUUAUUGGCUGGUUUUCCCUUGAUGCUCUUAACCGGGUGUCUUGGGUGGCUAGCACGUUUACUUUGAAAAAAUUAGAGUGCUCAAUACAGGCGUAAAGCCUUGAAUAGUGGUGCAUGGAAUAAUAGAAUAGGACCUCGGCUCUAUUUUGUUGGUUUUCGGAACGCGAGGUAAUGAUUAAGAGGGACAGACGGGGGCAUUCGUAUUGCGACGUUAGAGGUGAAAUUCUUGGAUCGUCGCAAGACGGACGACUGCGAAAGCAUUUGCCAAGAAUGUUUUCAUUAAUCAAGAACGAAAGUUAGAGGUUCGAAGGCGAUCAGAUACCGCCCUAGUUCUAACCGUAAACGAUGCCAACUAGCGAUUCGCAGGCGUUAAACAACGACCUUGCGGGCAGCUUCCCGGAAACGAAAGUGUUCGGGUUCCGGGGGAAGUAUGGUUGCAAAGCUGAAACUUAAAGGAAUUGACGGAAGGGCACCACCAGGAGUGGAGCCUGCGGCUUAAUUUGACCCAACACGGGAAAACUCACCCGGCCCGGACACCGUAAGGAUUGACAGAUUGAGAGCUCUUUCUUGAUUCGGUGGGUGGUGGUGCAUGGCCGUUCUUAGUUGGUGGAGCGAUUUGUCUGGUUUAUUCCGAUAACGAACGAGACUCUGGCCUACUAAAUAGUGGGCGGAUUCUUUCUGUCCGCAACACUUCUUAGAGGGACAAGCGGUGUUCAGCCGCACGAGAUUGAGCAAUAACAGGUCUGUGAUGCCCUUAGAUGUCCGGGGCUGCACGCGCGCUACACUGAAGGAAUCAGCGUGCUUUCUGACCUUGCCCGAAAGGGCUGGGUAACCCGAUGAAAAUCCUUCGUGAUUGGGAUAGGGACUUGCAAUUAUUUCCCUUGAACGAGGAAUUCCCAGUAAGUGUGGGUCAUAAGCUCGCGUUGAUUACGUCCCUGCCCUUUGUACACACCGCCCGUCGCUGCCCGGAACUGAGCCGUUUCGAGAAGAACAGGGACCGUCGUUGAAGGGCCUUAACGGGCUUUUCUCUGAUAGAAACUGUU